CCUACGGGCGGCUGCAGUGAGGAAUAUUGCGCAAUGGAGGCAACUCUGACGCAGCCAUGCCGCGUGCAGGAAGAAGGCGCUACGCGUUGUAAACUGCUUUUAAUCGGGAAGAAACCCCGGGACGUGUCCCGGGUUGACGGUACCGAUGGAAUAAGCACCGGCUAACUUCGUGCCAGCAGCCGCGGUAAUACGAAGGGUGCAAGCGUUAUCCGGAUUCAUUGGGUUUAAAGGGUGCGUAGGCGGAACAAUAAGUCAGCGGUGAAAGCCUGCAGCUUAACUGCAGAACUGCCGUUGAUACUGUUGUUCUUGAGUACGUUUGACGUGGGCGGAAUGUGCCGUGUAGCGGUGAAAUGCUUAGAUAUGGCACAGAACACCGAUAGUGAAGACAGCUCACGAAGACGAAACUGACGCUGAGGCACGAAAGCGUGGGGAGCGAACAGGAUUAGAUACCCCGGUAGUC
This 460-nucleotide ribosomal RNA is filed under the name uncultured Bacteroidota bacterium. Its description in RNAcentral is "bacterial SSU rRNA". It matches the Rfam family "Bacterial small subunit ribosomal RNA", at positions 338 to 795 of the family's 1533-position model. The record is from RNAcentral. Lineage: Bacteria; Pseudomonadati; Bacteroidota.